Long non-coding RNA from Pieris rapae (cabbage white), 367 nucleotides. RefSeq lists it as uncharacterized. The record is from RefSeq and is a predicted model, not a curated record. The transcript has 2 exons. NCBI's taxonomy places the organism in Eukaryota, Metazoa, Arthropoda, Insecta, Lepidoptera, Pieridae.
CGAUCAUUAUCGUACACCUGGGAUUAUUUCAUAACGGCGUGUGAUUGUAAACUUCUAUCGUAGUCAGAUUGUACAAUAUUUUUUUAAUCUAUUUAGUAGUAGUAGUUCGUAAUAGUGUGGUGGGGUCAGUUUCUACCGUUACCACGUUUGCCCCGUUAUUCGUGGCUAAUUAAGCCAACCUAGCCUCUUCCAAAAACUCACUCACUAUUUCCUGGAUACUUUGCAGGCGGCGGACAAGGCAAGCCGGCAUGAGCAGUAUAUAGAAAAAGGGUUCCUAAUUCUACCAUAAGAGUUAAGACGAAUUGUUGCUGAAGGCAGAUCUAACAUAGGCGUAUUUAAUACGCCCGGUAAAAAGAGGAAAGUGCUA